Molecule: long non-coding RNA, 305 nt
Filed under: Elaeis guineensis (African oil palm)
Lineage: Eukaryota; Viridiplantae; Streptophyta; Magnoliopsida; Arecales; Arecaceae
Description: long non-coding RNA (EGUI_LNC070942)
Source: RNAcentral
GGCUCCUCACGAAUGCUCGUUCAUGAUUUCACCCUUUUGAUGGCUGAUGUUGAUCGAACUCCUUCGAUCGAUGUGUGCUGACUCCUCGGAUGCUCUAGAUCAUCUGCACGAUUGGUUGAGAGGCUGAUGGAUCUCUCUCUAAAAUUUGGUAGACUCACGACACUCGUGGCACACCAAUCUCACUUCCCGAACCCUAGGUAGAAACCCUAGGGUACACACCAAAAAUCCUGUGCCCACUUCUCUCUCCUUUUUCUCUCCUCUCGGUAAAUUUUGAACACUUCAAAAUUUUUCCAGAACCUCCCCAC